This is a long non-coding RNA of Gopherus evgoodei (Goodes thornscrub tortoise), 1643 nucleotides long. RefSeq lists it as uncharacterized. Lineage: Eukaryota; Metazoa; Chordata; Testudines; Testudinidae. The record is from RefSeq and is a predicted model, not a curated record. The transcript is spliced from 3 exons.
CCGGGCCCUGACUCUCCCGCCCCCCCCCCCGGACCGGGUCCCCGGAGCUCCGGACGGUUCAGGCCUCGUGACCCUCCACCCCCGGGCUGGCCCCCCGCAGCGCCGGGCUGUUCAGGUCUCCUGAUCCCCACGCCUCCCGCCGGGCCCCCGCAGCGCCAGGCGGUUCAGACCUCCUGACCCCUGCGGCCAGGCUCUUUCCAAGUGUCUCUCUUUCCCCCCCUCUCCCCACGGAUUUUCAUGGAUUGGCUUUGAACAUAAGAACAGCCAGACUGGGUCAGAUCAAAGGUCCGCCUAGCCCAGUAUCUUGUCUGGUGACCCUGGCCGAAGCCCGGUGCCUGAGAAGAAAUGAACAGAGCAGCCCCCCUGCAGACCUUCAGAGAGCACUGCAACAGCUGGGAUCACAAUGAGGAAGAAUAGGAUAUCUUUGAGGAGAGAUUGCUGAUGGACAUAGCAAAAAAUAAAUACAAUUGCUUGUGACAUUCAUGGAGCAACUGCAGACUGUGGAGCAUUUCUUCUCGGCCUAAGAAACGAGCACUGACUGGUGCGAUCGCACGUAAUACAGACGUGGGACAAUGAGCAGUGGCUGCAGAACUUUUGGAUACAAAAGGCCACAUUCCUGGAUCUGUGUCAUGCUCACUCUAGCCCUCCAAUGCAGGGACAGAACGAGACCUCAUUGAUAGUGGAGAAGUGAGUGGUGAUCAUGGUCUGGAAGCUUACAGCGCUGGAUUGCGACUGCUCAGUGGGAAAUCACUCUGAAGUUAGAAAAUCCACAGUCGGGGGCCAUUGUCAUCCAGGUGUGUAAGGCCAUUGACUGCUGUGCAGGACUGUGACUCCCAGCAAUAUAUAAGAUAUGGUGGAUGGAUUUGCAAAAAUUGGGUUCCCAGCUGUGGUGGGGGAAGAGACAGAAUGCACAUCCCUAUCUUGGUGCCAGCCACCUUGCUACAGAACCCAUCGACAGAAAGGCCUACUUUUCGAUAGUUACGCGAGUGCUGUUGGAUCCCUGCGGAUGCUUCACUCAUAUCAGUGAAGGUUGCUCAGGGAAGGUGCAUGAUGCUUGCAUGUUUAAGAUCACAGAAUUGUUCAGAAAGCUGCAAGCAGGGACAUUUUUUCCUGGGUGGUUGAUUAACAUUGGUUAUGUGGAAAUGCUGACAGUGAUGCUGGGGGCCCAGCUGACCCCUUGAUCCAUGAAGCUGUACAUUGCCCACCUUGAUGGCACCAAGGAAAGAGUCUACUGCUGGCUCAGUAGGUGUGGAAUGACUGUUGAAUGAGCUUUGAAGGAGGAAUGGGGUCGCAGAGAGAAAAAAGAUUCCUAUCUUGCGCCAACAACAUAAAAGGGGAUGAAACAACAAAGGGAGCUGCAGUCAUGAAAAAUCCCCUAGCUACCACCUGAGCUGGAACAAGGCCUGUACCACAGGAAAGGAUUGGACCCAGUCUAAGAAGAAGUCUAGUCUGUGAAAGAAGCUUAUUGGAACAUCUCUGAGGGUGAGAUUUACCAGUAUUCAGAUUCUUAAAUGUGUUAGGCUUAGACUUGCAUAUUUUGUUUUAUUUUGCUUGGUAACUUAAGUUGUUCUGUCUCAUUACUUGAAAACACUUAAAUCCUACUUAUUAUACUUAAUAAAAAGUCACUUUUGUUUAUUAAUUAA